GGAAUAUUGGUCAAUGGACGCAAGUCUGAACCAGCCAUGCCGCGUGCAGGAUGAAUGCCCUAUGGGUUGUAAACUGCUUUUAUUUGGGAAUAAACCUCUUUACGUGUAGAGCGCGGAAGGUACCAAAGGCAUAAGCACCGGCCAACUCCGUGCCAGCAGCCGCGGUAAUACGGAGGGUGCAAGCGUUAUCCGGAAUCAUUGGGUUUAAAGGGUCCGCAGGCGGAAGAAUAAGUCAGUGGUGAAAUCUUACAGCUUAACUGUGAAACUGCCAUUGAUACUGUUUUUCUUGAAUUUGGUCGAAGUGGGCGGAAUAUGACAUGUAGCGGUGAAAUGCAUAGAUAUGUCAUAGAACACCGAUAGCGAAGGCAGCUCACUAGGCCUGAAUUGACGCUCAUGGACGAAAGCGUGGGUAGCGAA
Molecule: ribosomal RNA, 417 nt
Filed under: uncultured bacterium
Lineage: Bacteria
Description: bacterial SSU rRNA
Rfam family: Bacterial small subunit ribosomal RNA
Source: RNAcentral